GACGAACGCUGGCGGCGUGCUUAACACAUGCAAGUCGAACGGUAAGGCCCUUCGGGGUACCCGAGUGGCGAACGGGUGAGUAACACGGGGAUGACCUGCCAUGCGCUUCGGGAUAAGCCAGGGAAACUGGGUCUAAUACCGGAUAGCGCAAUUGCUCGCAUGGGCGAUGGGGGAAAGCUUUGGCGGUGUGGGAUGGGCCCGGGGCCUAUCAGCUUGUUGGUGGGGUGAUGGCCUCCCAAGGCGACGACGGGUAGCCGGCCUGAGAGGGUGACCGGCCACACUGGGACUGAGAUACGGCCCAGACUCCUACGGGAGGCAGCAGUGGGGAAUAUUGCACAAUGGGCGCAAGCCUGAUGCAGCGACGCCGCGUGAGGGAUGACGGCCUUCGGGUUGUAAACCUCUUUCAGCACCGACGAAGCGCAAGUGACGGUAGGUGCAGAAGAAGGACCGGCCAACUACGUGCCAGCCGCCGCAGUAA
Molecule: ribosomal RNA, 478 nt
Filed under: uncultured bacterium
Lineage: Bacteria
Description: partial 16S ribosomal RNA
Rfam family: Bacterial small subunit ribosomal RNA
Source: RNAcentral